This is a long non-coding RNA of Acipenser ruthenus (sterlet), 944 nucleotides long. RefSeq lists it as uncharacterized. NCBI's taxonomy places the organism in Eukaryota, Metazoa, Chordata, Actinopteri, Acipenseriformes, Acipenseridae. The transcript has 4 exons. The record is from RefSeq and is a predicted model, not a curated record.
AGUCCAUGUGAAGAGAGGCUGUCAUAGUGAAGAUUUAGCAAUGAAAGGGCAAAAAUGAACCCAAGCUGCAAGUGAAUAACUGAUAAAAUAAAUAUUAUCACCUGGAUGAAGAAGGAUCUGUAGUCCAAAACGUCCUGAUAUACGUGUAUCAGAUAUGCUGGGAUGUUAAGGGUCAACGUUUAAAAAUGUGAGCGAUCGUCACAAACAGGAAGGCCAAUCAAAUGAUCACUCUGGGAUGAAUCUGAAAAACAGCAUAAUUUCCACUGGAUCUGUAUAUGAGCAAUCGCAAUGUGCAGAUGAUGUCGCCCGAGUGCCUGUCGAAAGAUAUUUCUGAGGAACGCUCUUGUUUUCUGUGGCCCUCGAGACUCUGAAGCAACAGUUUCCCCUGUGAGAGGUUCUCUUAAUUAACUCAUGGAACUUUUGUGCCCUGUUAUUUUUUUUUUCUCCUUUUGAUGUUCCGUACAAAAUAAUUGCUAUGCAAAUGUUCCAUUCAAUUCCUCUAAGUAAAGCAGAUCAAAGAACAUUUUGAAUGUGUGGGUUCAGGACAAAAACGAAACACAACUACGCUUUGUCAGCAUAGUUGGAAGGUAAAAAGUUCCAUGUGAACUUGGAACCAGUAUCGCUAGACACAGAGUUCCAAAGUCCUAUAGCAAUAGAUUGAACUCUCCAAUACAGAGAAGUAUUGCCCUGUACUGUGACUACAUUCAACCAGUGCAUGCUGCUGUCUGGAACUUUGAUUAACAGAAUCAUAGAGGAUCAUAAAGUGGGCGUGGAUUUUCUUUACUGGAUCCACCACCAAAUAAACUGCUGCUUUCUGGUUGUUUUGUUUUUAAGGAUGUUAUAAUAUUAGCAUCCAAACAGAGCUGUAUUGUAUAUCUUUGCAUUAAAGGGUAUGAAAUAAUUAUGGGCCCAUUUAUUUCUUAUAAGUAAGAGGCAGUGGCAGU